Molecule: long non-coding RNA, 1265 nt
Organism: Serinus canaria (Common canary)
Lineage: Eukaryota; Metazoa; Chordata; Aves; Passeriformes; Fringillidae
Exons: 5
Source: RefSeq, a predicted model, not a curated record
GAUAUGAAUACCAUACUCUUGAAGCAUAUCAACAGAUGACUUGAGAGAGAAAUUUUCUGAAAACCUGCCUUUUGAAAUCGACGGGGAAAAAAAGAUCCUUGAUUGCUGCAGCAAAUGGCAACUUGUGCAGGUUUUUCAGAUGCAUGUUGAUGGUGAAAAGAGGAAUGUAUGAAUCUGGGUAAAUUCUGCAUGCUGUCAGGUACAUGUGAGGAGAAGAUAUCAGCCAGCCUUGGUCACAAUAAGUAGUAUUCCUGAGUGAUAGUCAAGAAGAAUGGGAAUCACAGUCAAGAGCAGUGAGACUUGAUGGAUAAAAUACUGACUCCAGUUAAAUGCAGCAUAACUUUAUAAAUCUAUUUCAGUACUCCUGAGAAAGAAUACUACUUCCAUCACACAGAGUGCAUCCAUCCACAGAUGUGUAUGUGGAAGAAAGCAAAAUGAUAUUACAAAACAUCACAAAUGUGGCAAGAUUUGAAAAAAGCCUGGGGAAAUCUAUUCCAUCUGAAAAAGGACAAACUAAAGAACAGAAAAAUCAGGCCUUAACUACAAGACUUUAGUUGAUUUUUAUUGAACUGUGUGUAGAACAGCAGCAGGAAGAAGGAAUGGAAGCUGGACAAAUUUCAGUUGCUGAAGAAGUUAUAGAAUGUCCUUGCAAGCUAUUGAGAGGGGUCGUGCUCUUGCAAGAUGUGUGCAAGUGUUGGUGCUAAUGGAAAUUGCUGCAUCCAUUCCUGCCCUGCACAACCUGGCAUAGCAGCUCAUGGGUUUUGCUAUGUAAUCUGCCUGUUGCUGUGGGACUUCUGCAGGAGAAGGUUGAGGCAUUUCUACUUGUGGAAUUUUGUUUAUAAUUGGUUGUCACUGGUUGGGAAUGGAUUGAAUGUACAGUUGAACACCUGUUGCUCUAGAUGAUCUCAGACUGUCACCAACACAGUGGGUUUUUACACAUUUCCAGUUGAACUUGUGAACACUUGUAGCAAACCACUCAUUCUUCUAUGGAACAGGCUUGGAUGCAGUUAUUGUAUUCAUGUUUGGUAUGUGGAAAUAUUUAAUGUGUGUAAUCUGUUGGAAAGUUAAGUAUAUUCUAAAUUCAUUGUUAGGAGAGAGGCAAAAGUUUACAUUGUGUAUCUGUGGCUUUGAUGGUUCAUAGUUGAAAAUAAAUAAUAAUAAAUAAGAAUAUUUGGUGUAAGUUUUGUGUGCUAAUGAAAGAGACACUGCAAUGCUGGUGUUACACUGAUGUUAAAAAGUGAGAAAAUAAAGUUGUUCCAUGUCCA